GUUCUAAAUAAUUUAUAUAAAAUAUCUACUUUGGAUGUAGAAAAUUCUAAA
This 51-nucleotide transfer RNA is filed under the name Pardosa laura. RNAcentral describes it as "tRNA-Pro". Lineage: Eukaryota; Metazoa; Arthropoda; Arachnida; Araneae; Lycosidae. The record is from RNAcentral.